UACGGGGGGGGCAAGCGUUGUUCGGAAUUACUGGGCGUAAAGGGUCUGUAGGUGGCUUGCUAAGUCAGACGUGAAAUCCCUCAGCUUAACUGGGGAACUGCGUCUGAGACUGGCGAGCUUGAGUGCAGGAGAGGAGCGCGGAAUUCCAGGUGUAGCGGUGAAAUGCGUAGAUAUCAGGAGGAACACCGGUGGCGAAGGCGGCCCGCUGGCCGGAUACUGACGCUGAGACGCGAAAGCGUGGGGAGCAAACAGG
This 253-nucleotide ribosomal RNA is filed under the name uncultured bacterium. RNAcentral describes it as "partial 16S ribosomal RNA". It matches the Rfam family "Bacterial small subunit ribosomal RNA", at positions 524 to 776 of the family's 1533-position model. The record is from RNAcentral.